CGCUGAUCGAGGGGGGCCUCGCGAGAUGUCAUCGUUCGUGUCACAUUUUUUAAGUUGGAGUUGGGAAAUGUCGCGAGAGCUCAUCACAAUACCCAAACAACACUGUUUUCAUCAACGGAAAGGAGUAGGGGCCAAAGGUGCUGCCAGCCAAUCAGGUAAGGGACUCAUGAAUAAUGACAUUUACAACCCACAAACAGCCGGGCCAUUAGAGGUGGGUGUGGACACGUGGAAACAACAUUGGCUGAAACUGAAUCACCUUUGUGUGAAAGUGUCACAAAUGUGUUUCAGAGUCAUUUUCUGUAAAUGUCCAAAUAUACUGCAUUGGCUAUUAGUUAGUGAUAUUUCUUGAUAAAGUGAAAGUUGUGGGAUUGUUUGUGGCACAGAAACAUUUUAGAUUCAAUGUCUGGUGAGCCUGAUUAUCCACAGGCAAUGGGCACAUUUUUGAGUUAUGUUACAUGUUAGUGAGGGAGGAGGAUUCAAAAGCAAACAAAUGCACACAUUUGCUUAUCACGUUCGGGGAAAUAAACUUAAUUUCCUACAACUUACCCUAACCAUAACCACUGACCUAAAAAUCUUUAUUUUUUCCGAAUUGGGUUCCAUUUCGGGUAAGCCCUAUUGUCCCUAUUUGGUCUUUAGUCUGAAAUAUGUUCCCAAAGGUAGCCUAAAACAGAUUAUUUACUUGAAUUUUUUUGAAUAAGUGUGCAGCAGAGAUGAUAUAUUUUUGUAGUCCAACCCAGAACUUACCAUCGCUCUAGUUCCUUUAACAAGAACCCGUUGGAUUUUGGACUGUUGCCCAAAAUAAGCUCUGUGGUGAACAAAAGUUUAUGAUACUUAAGGCAUUACUUUAGAUAUUUAAGAUACUACUCAAAAAUGAAAACCCCUUUAUGACUUUUUGAAGUGUAAUUGCGAUCACCAGAAGUGAAAAGCUAAUUUUAGGCUAGAAACGUACUGCACCACUGUUGCAUGAAUUCAUCGGCACUAAUCUCAGGAGCGUUUCCAGACUUUAUUGGGUGGGGUGGCUCUCAAAUAGAGCAGGUCUAGACCGAACUCCUUAUAGCAUUAUUUACAGAGACCCAACAGUACCACCAUGAGCAAGCACUUGGCGACGGGGGCAAGGAAAAACUGCCUGUUAAAAGGCAGAAACCUAGGACAGACCCUUCGGCUCCAGGUGUGUGGUCGUCUGCCUCGACCGGUUGGGAUGAGAGAGAGAGAGAGAGAGAGAGAGAGAACAGACAGACAGACAGACAGACAGACAGACAGACGCACAGCAACAACAGUAGCAACAACUACACUAAUAGUAGUGACUGAUGAUGAUGAACAUGAAGAAGAUGAUGGCGACGACAACAACGAUGGGGGACAAUGACUAGUGAUUACAGUAAUAAUAGUAACCGUAGUAAUAAAAAUAAUAACAAUAAUAUCAGUUAUAUUGGAAUGGCAUUCAAGCAGGACCAUGGCAGGAGAACCUGAGAACCUGUGAGACGAGAAAGCACAAGAACUCCGGGGAAGAAGUGAAGUUAGUAACAUGCAUUAAUGGGACAUGAAUGACUGCAGAAAGAGAGAGAGAGGAAGGAGAGGAGCUCAGUGCAUCAUGGAAAAUCCCCCGAUAGUCUAGGCCUAUAGCAGCAUAACUAGGGGAUGGUUCACGACUCACCUGAGCCAGCCCUAACUAUAAGCUUUAUCAAAGAGGAAUGUCUUAAGCCUGUCUGCCUCCCGAACCAAAACUGGAAGCUGGUUCCACAGGAGAGGAGCUUGGUAACUGAAGGCUCUGGCUCCUGUUCUACUUUUAGAGAAUAUAGGAACCACAAGUAGCCCUGCAUUCAGAGAAUGCAGUGUUCUAGAGGGGUAAUAGGGUGCUAUGAGCUCUUUAAGAUAUGAAGGGGCCUGACCAUGAAGAGCUUUUUAGGUGAGGAGGACGAUUUUAAAUUCUGUUCUAAAUUUUACAGGGAGCCAGUGCAGGAAGCUAGUACAGGAGAGAUGUGAUUUAUUUUCCUAGUUCCUGUCAGUACUCGUGCUGCAGUGUUCUGAAUUAAUUGGAGUGUUUUAAUGGACUUAUUGGGGCAACCUGAUAAUAAGGAAUUGCAGUAAUCCUGCCUAGAAGUAACAAAUGCAUGGAUUAGUUUUUCUGCAUCCGUCUGUGACAGGAUGUGUCUAAUUUUUGUAAUAUUACGUAAAUGAAAAAAGGCAGUCCUAGAGUUUAACAUCAGAAAAUUGCAGCUCAUCCAGGAUUUUAUGUCCUUAAGACAUGUUUGUAAUUUAGAUAAUUGAUUAAUUCCAUUGUGCUUGAUCGAUAGAUAUAACUGUGUAUCAUCUGCAUAGCAAUGAAAGUUAAUGGAGUGAUUCCUAAUAAUGUUGCCUAAGGGAAGCAUAUACUGUAUAAAGUGAAUAGUAUUGGACCAAGUACAGAACCUUGUGGAACUCCAUGACUAACUGUAGUAAUUAUGGAAGAUUCAUCGCUAACAUGUACAAACUGAGAACGAUCUGAUAAGUAUAACCUAAACCAGCUUAGUGCGGUUCCUUUAAUGCCAAUUUGAUGCUGAAGUCUCUGUAAAAGAAUAUCAUGGUCAAUGGUGUCAAAUGCAGCACUAAGAUCUAAUAAUACAAGUACAUAUUGUCGGAAGCAAUCAAAAGGUCAUUAUUAAAGGGGAACUUGGCAACUAUUUCAACUUAAUAAACCCAUUUAGAAAUCAUUUGGAUGGUUAAAUGGCCUGUUCCGGUGAAAAUGGUGACUUUCCCCACUCCCCAGGCGGAAAACCAACCUUGCAACUUUGGGACUACCAUUCCGUUAAGUUGGAAAUAGGAAGUAUCGUGAGAAGCGAGAACGAGUGAGAAACACAAACUGCUUUGCGGCAAUUCCACAUAAACGCACACGCCCCCCUCAAUACCGGUUAGCCACGCCAGCUAUAAGAAUAAGCGACGAUGAAUGUAUUACCCACCUCGGUAGACAUUGCCCCACACGAAAAAGUUGCCCGGCAACAAAUGCACAUCAGCAGCGGUAGAAAGGGGGAGGAGGGUGCCGCAAGUGAGUUUUUUUACGACAGUGUUUUGAAAUAUACGUCCCAGAGCUGUAGGGGGAGCUCGUUGAUUGAUGAACUCUAAAUCCUGACUGAAAAUCCUCAAAUAAGCUAUUGUUAUGUAGAAAGUCACAAAACUGUUUGGCGACUACUUUCUCCAGAAUCUUAGAGAGGAAGGGGAGGUUAGAAAUCGGUAGUUGCCUAUGCCCCUGGGGCAAGGUGGUCUUUUUAGGAGGGGUUUAAUUACAAUUUUGGACCCCAGUAUGCUAAACAAAAAAUAAUAUAUUUAUACCACAUGCAAAAAACUGCAUGGGAUUGGCAAAAAGUGUGUGUGUCUGCAAAGGGGAGACUCGUGGGUACCUGUAGAAUCCAUUUUCAUUAAUUUAUCUUGAAGUCAGAGGUCAAAGUGUGCCUUUUUUUGCCUAACUUUGGAGGAUUAUUUAGCAUCCUCCCCGACAUGCUAGCAUACCAGUUAAGAUACCUGUAUCUUCAAUAGCUUUAACAGGGAGCCUGCUACAGACUCUGAAAGAGUCUGUGUGGAAUAGGAAAGGACAAUGGGGUGGCACAUGGAUGGGCAAUGGAG
This is a long non-coding RNA of Dicentrarchus labrax (European seabass), 3594 nucleotides long. RefSeq lists it as uncharacterized. The transcript is spliced from 2 exons. The record is from RefSeq and is a predicted model, not a curated record. NCBI's taxonomy places the organism in Eukaryota, Metazoa, Chordata, Actinopteri, Moronidae.